Molecule: ribosomal RNA, 468 nt
Filed under: uncultured bacterium
Lineage: Bacteria
Description: partial 16S ribosomal RNA
Rfam family: Bacterial small subunit ribosomal RNA
Source: RNAcentral
GAAGAAGGAGGGAGGCGUGCUUAACACAUGCAAGUCGAACGGAAAGGCCCUGCUUUUGUGGGGUGCUCGAGUGGCGAACGGGUGAGUAACACGUGAGUAACCUGCCCUUGACUUUGGGAUAACUUCAGGAAACUGGGGCUAAUACCGGAUAGGAGCUCCUGCUGCAUGGUGGGGGUUUUAAAGUUUCUGCGGUUUUUGAUGGACUCUCGGCUUAUCAGCUUUUUGGUGGGGUAGUGGCUUACCAAGGCUUUGACGGGUAGCCGGCCUGAGAGGGUGACCGGCCACAUUGGGACUGAGAUACGGCCCAGACUCCUACGGGAGGAAGAAGUGGGGAAUAUUGCAAAAUGGGCGGAAGCCUGAUGCAGCAACGCCGCGUGCGGGAUGACGGCCUUCGGGUUGUAAACCGCUUUCGACUGUGACGAAGAGUGAGUGAAGGUAAUGGGUAAAGAAGCACCGGCUAAAUAAGUG